This is a small nuclear RNA of Saimiri boliviensis boliviensis (Bolivian squirrel monkey), 118 nucleotides long. Its record names the gene U5. It matches the Rfam family "U5 spliceosomal RNA". Rfam says of the family: U5 RNA is a component of both types of known spliceosome. The precise function of this molecule is unknown, though it is known that the 5' loop is required for splice site selection and p220 binding, and that both the 3' stem-loop and the Sm site are important for Sm protein binding and cap methylation. NCBI's taxonomy places the organism in Eukaryota, Metazoa, Chordata, Mammalia, Primates, Cebidae. The record is from Ensembl.
AUGCUCUGAUUUCUCUUCGGAUUGUAUAAAUCUUUCACCUUUUACUAAAUAUUUCCAUGGAGAGGAACAACUCAGAGUUUUAAACUAAUUUUUUGACGCUUUGCUUUUUAGCAAGGCU